RNAcentral lists this long non-coding RNA (397 nucleotides) under Homo sapiens (human). The record is from RNAcentral. Lineage: Eukaryota; Metazoa; Chordata; Mammalia; Primates; Hominidae.
AAGAAAAAUGUAGAACUGACUUCUUAAUCAAGGGCUGUUCUCCCUAGCAUCUGUCCCAAAAGUACGGUGGUUUUCAGCACAUCCGUUCUUCCAUAGGUACCUGCGUCGAGCUCUGCACAGGUGACUGGGACUGCAACCCCGGAGACCACUGUGUCAGCAAUGGGUGUGGCCAUGAGUGUGUUGCAGGGUAAGGACAGAUGAAGAGUUAUCUUAAGGAUCAUCUUUCCCUAAGAUCGUCAUCCCUUCCUGGAGUUCCUAUCUUCCAAGAUGUGACUGUCUGGAGUUCCUUGACUAGGAAGAUGGAUGAAAACAGCAAGCCUGUGGAUGGAGACUACAGGGGAUAUGGGAGGCAGGGAAGAGGGGUUGUUUCUUUUAAUAAAUCAUCAUUGUUAAAAGC